AUACGUAGGGUGCGAGCGUUGUCCGGAAUUACUGGGCGUAAAGAGCUCGUAGGUGGUUUGUCGCGUCGUCUGUGAAAUUCCGGGGCUUAACUCCGGGCGUGCAGGCGAUACGGGCAUAACUUGAGUACUGUAGGGGAGACUGGAAUUCCUGGUGUAGCGGUGAAAUGCGCAGAUAUCAGGAGGAACACCGGUGGCGAAGGCGGUUCUCUGGGCAGUAACUGACGCUGAGGAGCGAAAGCAUGGGUAGCGAACAGGAUUAGAUACCCUGGUAGUCCAUGCCGUAAACGGUGGGCGCUAGGUGUAGGGGUCUUCCACGACUUCUGUGCCGUAGCUAACGCAUUAAGCGCCCCGCCUGGGGAGUACGGCCGCAAGGCUAAAACUCAAAUGAAUUGACGGGG
This 398-nucleotide ribosomal RNA is filed under the name uncultured bacterium. RNAcentral describes it as "partial 16S ribosomal RNA". It matches the Rfam family "Bacterial small subunit ribosomal RNA", at positions 523 to 918 of the family's 1533-position model. The record is from RNAcentral.